RNAcentral lists this ribosomal RNA (485 nucleotides) under uncultured bacterium. Its description in RNAcentral is "partial 16S ribosomal RNA". It matches the Rfam family "Bacterial small subunit ribosomal RNA", at positions 30 to 508 of the family's 1533-position model. The record is from RNAcentral.
AUUGAACGCUGGCGGCAGGCCUAACACAUGCAAGUCGAGCGGAUGAAGGGAGCUUGCUCCUGGAUUCAGCGGCGGACGGGUGAGUAAUGCCUAGGAAUCUGCCUGGUAGUGGGGGAUAACGUCCGGAAACGGGCGCUAAUACCGCAUACGUCCUGAGGGAGAAAGUGGGGGAUCUUCGGACCUCACGCUAUCAGAUGAGCCUAGGUCGGAUUAGCUAGUUGGUGGGGUAAAGGCCUACCAAGGCGACGAUCCGUAACUGGUCUGAGAGGAUGAUCAGUCACACUGGAACGGAGACACGGUCCAGACUCCUACGGGAGGCAGCAGGGGGGAAUAUUGGACAAUGGGCGAAAGCCUGAUCCAGCCAUGCCGCGUGUGUGAAGAAGGUCUUCGGAUUGUAAAGCACUUUAAGUUGGGAGGAAGGGCAGUAAGUUAAUACCUUGCUGUUUUGACGUUACCAACAGAAUAAGCACCGGCUAACUUCGUGC